RNAcentral lists this transfer RNA (69 nucleotides) under Pseudorhombus pentophthalmus (fivespot flounder). RNAcentral describes it as "tRNA-Glu". It matches the Rfam family "tRNA". From Rfam's summary of the family: Transfer RNA (tRNA) molecules are approximately 80 nucleotides in length. Their secondary structure includes four short double-helical elements and three loops (D, anti-codon, and T loops). The record is from RNAcentral. Lineage: Eukaryota; Metazoa; Chordata; Actinopteri; Pleuronectiformes; Paralichthyidae.
GUUUCUGUAGUUGAACUACAACGACGGUUUUUCAAGUCGUAGGUCCUGGUUAGAAUCCUGGUAGAAACC